This 180-nucleotide non-coding RNA is filed under the name Lachnospiraceae bacterium. RNAcentral's name for it is "6S RNA". It matches the Rfam family "6S / SsrS RNA". Rfam says of the family: E. coli 6S RNA was the first non coding RNA to be sequenced, but its function was unknown until recently. It consists of 184 nucleotides that fold into an extended hairpin structure with a large single-stranded internal bulge. The 6S RNA specifically associates with RNA polymerase holoenzyme containing the sigma70 specificity factor. The record is from RNAcentral. Lineage: Bacteria; Bacillati; Bacillota; Clostridia; Lachnospirales; Lachnospiraceae.
UCAUUCCUGGGGUGUGCGACACUCCCGCAAUUUUGAACCUACAUUACCUUUAUGGGAAUCCUAAUAUCGCACAGCCGAUGUCAGGCCUCCGUUUGCAGUGGAAGGCAGAAGCUGUGGCUGCGGAUGCCCACCUAGCUCUGCUAGGACUCAGAAUACGGGAAACGGCACUCUGGGAAUAUU